CUACGGAGGGUGCAAGCGUUAUUCGGAAUCACGGGGCGUAAAGGACGCGUAGGCGGGUUGGCAAGUCAGAUGUGAAAUCCUACAGCUUAACUGUAGAACUGCAUUUGAAACUGCUAACCUAGAGUAUGGGAGGGGGAGAUGGAAUUAGUGGUGUAGGGGUAAAAUCCGUAGAUAUCACUAGGAAUACCGAAAGCGAAGGCGAUCUCCUGGAACAUAACUGACGCUAAGGCGUGAAAGCGUGGGGAGCAAACAGGAUUAGAAACCCUUGUAGUCC
RNAcentral lists this ribosomal RNA (274 nucleotides) under uncultured bacterium. RNAcentral's name for it is "partial 16S ribosomal RNA". It matches the Rfam family "Bacterial small subunit ribosomal RNA", at positions 523 to 796 of the family's 1533-position model. The record is from RNAcentral.